RNAcentral lists this ribosomal RNA (433 nucleotides) under uncultured bacterium. RNAcentral describes it as "partial 16S ribosomal RNA". It matches the Rfam family "Bacterial small subunit ribosomal RNA", at positions 29 to 507 of the family's 1533-position model. The record is from RNAcentral.
AACGAACGCUGGCGGCAUGCCUAACACAUGCAAGUCGAAUGAGACCUUCGGGUCUAGUGGCGCACGGGUGCGUAACACGUGGGAAUCUGCCCUUUGCUUCGGAAUAACAGUUAGAAAUGACUGCUAAUACCGGAUGAUGUCGAAAGACCAAAGAUUUAUCGGCAAAGGAUGAGCCCGCGUAGGAUUAGGUAGUUGGUGGGGUAAAGGCCUACCAAGCCGACGAUCCUUAGCUGGUCUGAGAGGAUGAUCAGCCACACUGGGACUGAGACACGGCCCAGACUCCUACGGGAGGCAGCAGUGGGGAAUAUUGGACAAUGGGCGAAAGCCUGAUCCAGCAAUGCCGCGUGAGUGAUGAAGGCCUUAGGGUUGUAAAGCUCUUUUACCAGGGAUGAUAAUGACAGUACCUGGAGAAUAAGCUCCGGCUAACUCCGUG